UACGUAGGGUGUAAGCGUUGUCCGGAAUUAUUGGGCGUAAAGAGCUCGUAGGCGGUCUGUCGCGUCUGCUGUGAAAACUCAGGGCUUAACCCUGAGCUUGCAGUGGGUACGGGCAGACUAGAGUGCGGUAGGGGAGACUGGAAUUCCUGGUGUAGCGGUGAAAUGCGCAGAUAUCAGGAGGAACACCGGUGGCGAAGGCGGGUCUCUGGGCCGUAACUGACGCUGAGGAGCGAAAGCCAGGGGAGCAAACGGG
This 253-nucleotide ribosomal RNA is filed under the name uncultured bacterium. RNAcentral describes it as "partial 16S ribosomal RNA". It matches the Rfam family "Bacterial small subunit ribosomal RNA", at positions 524 to 776 of the family's 1533-position model. The record is from RNAcentral.